Long non-coding RNA from Antechinus flavipes (yellow-footed antechinus), 1155 nucleotides. RefSeq lists it as uncharacterized. The record is from RefSeq and is a predicted model, not a curated record. The transcript is spliced from 2 exons. NCBI's taxonomy places the organism in Eukaryota, Metazoa, Chordata, Mammalia, Dasyuromorphia, Dasyuridae.
GACUGCCCCAUUUCAGCCAACUAAAUGCAAAACCACUUCAAAAAGGGGUGGGGGUAGGGGUGGGAAGGAGAAAGACAACAGAGCUGAUGAGGGUGGGAAAACUUAACCUCUGAUGUCACAAUCCCACGACUCAAUAGUGAGUGACCACCCAUAAGGUUAUAGAGCAGAAGAAGGAGGAAUAAGCACCUGAGCCAUAAAAGUGCUGUGACAUCGAGGAGGAUUUCUAUGCUGAGUUUGAGUUGAUUUUAAUUCAAUUAAAGUCAAAUUAAAAUGUAGUAGCCUUUAAGGAUUUUUUUUUAAGUUGACAGGUGAUAAACACCUGAAGAUGUGAUUUUAAUGUAGCAAUCAUUUCUUAGCUAUUUUAAGACGAGGAAAAAAAAACACCUUCCAAAGAAUAUGCUCCUACUGUUGGUUCCUCGACCACAAUAAAUAUCAUUUAGAAUUAAUAUCGUGAGAAGAACAGAAAUGACUGUUGUGCAUGAAUCUUGCAGAGGGCCCAGGAUUUUAAAUGAUGAACACUGAAAUUGUCAUGAAUUUGUAGAUUUUCUCUAAGCACAGAAAGACCUUUAAGCUACUGUUGCUUAGAAUUGGGGAAGAAGGGGUUAAGGCCAAAAAAGGACACAAGAUUUGGGGGCAAAGCCUCUAAAAGGAUUUUUUAUCUGUCACAAGUUUCCAAGAAAAACUUUCUUUGUAAUGUUAAAAAUCAUUUCUCUAAAUACAAUCAAGCAAGAAAGUGUCUACAAUGAGCAAAAUACAGAAUAACAGUAGCCCCAUCGAAGCCUGGAUCUGGUCCAGGGUGCUUGAUUUUUGCAGCAGCUUUCUCCUCGGUACCCAAGUGGAAUAGAAAGAAAAAAAAUGGCCUGGAAAGCCCUCCACCAGCCCAGAGAACUGCUGAGGGGCUGAGCAGCCUUGGCCCCUUGAACUAGGCCAGAAAGACUAAAGGCACCACCUGCCAUUUGGAUCAUACCAUCUUUUCUUCACACAGAAAACCUUAUCCACUGAGGAAUCUCAAGUCCCGGACCAUCCAGAAAUGCUCUUUCAAAAAAGGCUUUCUUUUCCCCCCUCCUCAGCUCUUAGCAGAGCAUGAGGGCAGAUUUCAGAUGGGAAGGGAAACCUCGUCCCCUCUCUGAAUAUAGUGAUAUGAGGGGAAAAGGG